AGAAGGGUGGAGCCAGAAUCCACCCCUCCUAGACCUAUUUAAGAGCUGGCUACCAUUAGGGAAGGAUCUGUUCUGGAGAUUGCCUUUGCUGGUGUUUUGUGAGUGAGCCCAGGAUAGGGUUAAAUGCAGAGCUAUGUGGGUAUGGAAGCAGAAAAAACCUUGCUGCUCUCCCCUCCUGGUGUGGAAAACAACAGGAGUGAUCACGGCAACACAGCAGAGCAGGAGUAAACGAGAUCUUACAUGAAGAUCUCUCAAUCAGACUACAUUUCUCAUGAGACAUCAUACAGCACUCCAGCCAAGGAUGGAGUCCACGCUUAAUCCUUGCAGUAUGGCAGGACAGUGCAGCACCAUCUCAUAAUGGAUAGGUCUAGUUUAAAACUGCAGUUUUAAGUACUUUUUUAAUUUGUUUUGGGAAAAGGAUCAUGUGUGUGUAUAUGAAUGCCAGGUCUACUGGCUAUUGAAAACUGUACUCUUUACUCAGGAUGCAUAGAUUUGAUUAUGCAAUCUUGCUGGAACAGUUUUCUAAUCAAUAUCAGUAUUAUUCGCUUAAUGAUUGUUAAAAAAGGAAGAAAGAAAACUGGUGUUUCUAAACAGCUCUAUUAUCAGCUACUAAGAGGAACAACCACCUUUUUAUUUAAAAGAAUGGUUGUUUGGGGAUAUAAUGAUUAUUUGUAGAGCGCUGGGAUAUAGGAGGGAGGAUUUAGUUAAACUGAGUGCAUAAAAUCAUGCUGUGUUCCUUGAUAUCACCUCAUAGACUGGUUUAUUUCCAGUGUCACCUUCACUGUUUUGUAAUCUGUAUGCAUAGUGAAUAAACUCUACACCUAAGGACUUGGACUUGAUGAUCCUUAGGGGACCUUUCCAACUCAGGAUAUUCUGUCAUCCUGACUCUACUUUCUUUGAAGUGCAUCCGUGACAUUUAUCUGCAAGGCAAAGCUUGCUCUUCUCCACAGUAAACUGAUGGAGGGACACCUUAAAAUCCCUGGAGUCCAGGCACCUGCAAAAUGUGGGGAGUGUAUGGUCACUACUUGCUUUCACUUAUUAGUGACCAGACUUGAGCUUCGCCAGCUUAUGGCUCAGGUUUUGUCAAGUCUUACUGAGCUAAUUUCCACUGGGACUAAUCAAAGCAUAGCCUGAGCAUUUGAUGGUUUGGACCCCUGUCAGAAAUACAUGACUAUUUUGAUAUUGCCAAAAAAUAUAUUGCUAAAGAGAAUUGUUUCCUUUAUUUAUAUUCAUUUAUGCUUGGGCUAUAGCACAGGCAAGAGCAAAAUCCAUCUGGAAGAAGAAAAAAACAAAGUCAAGGUAAAAACAAAAUCUUUCCAACAUCAUUCCUGUAGUGGUAAGUCAUCCUGCUGAGAGCAACAGAUUAGAUCCUGCCACAAUACAUCUCAUAACCUACAUCCUGAAAACAAGCUAGAAUAGAUUUCCAGAGUGAGAAAUACAUAGAUAUAGUUUUGGGAGAAUAUUAUGGAAAUAAGUAUUCAGCAAGAGGCAAGCAGUAUGAGGUGUUACCCUUCAUUAGCUCUUGUGUUGAUAUAAGCGCUUGUUUCAGAGUCUCUCUCCCUCUUGAGGACUACAGGUAAUGGACGAGCGGUUUUGUCUUCAUUCAAACUAUCAUUACUGUAGAAUCAAUUGAAACAUUAAGAAAAUAAGGGACAAAAAAUUUAAUUCCUCUGUAACAACAGUUUUGACCCUUGGUCAAGGUUCUUUAAGAAUAUAACCAGGCCUUGCAAUGUAAUUAUGUUUUGAAACUUGUACCUAAACACUUUUACACCAGUCUGUGUACCAGUCUCAGAAAAAUGGAGACACUGAAAACAUAACAUUCAGUUUGUUAAGGACAAGAACUCUUUCCUCUUAAAGUUCUUUUAUUCUUUUUGCCUCUGAUGUCUCUAUUUUCUAUAUUCCAUUCUUUCUGUGCUCUUUGGUCUUGAGUCCACCCAGUCCUCUUCAUUUUCAUUGCAAUUUUUCCUUUCUCUUUAUGUAGCAUUUUCUCUAUGAGAUGUUUUGCAUACAUUUUUCUUCUUGCAUUAACCUUAAGUCUAAUCCUGCUAUUGACAAGUCACCAGAACCUAUUGAGGGUCAACAAAAAGGAUUCCUUCUGAUUUUUACUGCUUUGUGAAGUACAUUCAACAAUAUUGAGCAAAGAAGCAUCAUGUGAGACUCAGGACAGAGCUGUAAUGCUGCAUUCAAGGGCACAGCCUGUAUGAAGCACAUUAUAGAGUUUUAUUGUAGCACAUUGAUUACGUGUACUUAAAUGUCUACACUCCACCUUCUAAGUUUAAAUUCACAGGACUGUAAAAUGGUUUAAUUUUAUAAAAAUCCAUAUUCUUUUUGAUUAUCAUACUAAAUUUUUCUGCAUGGACUAGCACAAUCUUCUGAUGCAGAGUGCAUCUGACUAUUAAAAUGCAACUUACAAAUGAACACGAGUGUGAAAUACCUUUAUUUGCCACGAAGCAGAAGUGAGGUCAUGCCUUGCAAGGAUAUUCAUACUUCCUUCUCAUAUUUCCUUGAGGUCUCAAUGGAUUCCUGUUUAAGGGAGACCCAUAUACCUGACCACUGUGGGAAAGAGUCCUGCACACAAGUAACUACUUGAGGAAGGAAAUGUAGGAACAGGUGCAAGAAGUAGUGGAUAUCAGCUGAAUCCAUACUGACUUUUACAAGAUGUAUUCACUGAUCUGUGCACUCAUUAAUAAGUGAUAUGAAGAUGUCACUUAAAGCACAGUAUCAGCCUUUGCUGAUGAUGUACCUGGCAAGGUGUUGGUGGCAGAGUGGCUUAAUAGGGAAGCCAUUGUGAAAAGAGAACAGGGCUACCCCAUGCUGGAUACAGGAGAAAGUGUCAGUAUUUUAAAUAAUUGCAAAAAUAUGAAACUUAUUUUCCAGAAGUCAAAACUGUUUCACCACCAUGGUAACUGGUAAUUGAUUUCCCUGUCUUUUUUGCUUAUGUUUUUUUCCCUGCUUUCUCCCCCUACCUCAUUCCUUCCUGAUGAGUAAACAAGCAGCUGGGUAGGAACUUGACAUCUAACCAAAGCCAAUCCAUUGCAAAGAUUGACUCAGGUUAGUCAAAGUUAAAGCUUGGUAUUGAAUGACUUAAUGAUAAAAUUAGAAGAUGAAAUUCAGCAUUAGUACUGUUAAUUAAUGAUCGUGGCAAAAAAGAAGAAAAAGCACUUGCAAUGCUGUUGGAACUGUUCUCUGUAGUUGCAGUGUUUAGUGUAAGAGCCAAAGGAAUAACUAAGAAGUUAAAUGUGAUUUUUUUUCAGUUGUUUUCCAAUAAUUCACAAUUAAUUCUUUUGCAAAGACAGUUCUGUCAUGUCAACCAUUUGACUCUACCAAAUUAUGACAAUAUUCUGGAGAACGAAUACACUUUACAGAGUGGAAGUUCCAGAAGAAACUUUUAAAUUGGAAAAAGGACAAUAUUCACUGGGCUCUCCCAUAUGUGGAUAUUCUGUCCUAUGAGGCGUCUUUUCUAUCUGGGCCAAGCUUGACAUAGAAAUCAUCUCUCCUGAAAUGAUAUGUUUCUUAUGAUUCACAGUGCAAAGUUUGGUUGGAGCAAAACCACACUGCAUAAUGCGGAAUAAAGUGCUUCAGGGAGCAUGGCUGAUAAGGUAGAAAGGAACCCAGACUACUACUGGAUUGGCAAUGAACUAGGGAAAAUUGCCUAUGAAUAUUUUCUUAAACCAAUUUGAGUUUAAAUAUUUUAUUUCAUUUCACUGAAAAGAUUUAUUUUGCUCCAUACUGGAUCAGACCUACCAUAUGUUUCCUUGUUAAAUCUGUGUUUUAAUUACAUUUUAAAUUAAUUACUAAAUAUUUUGAAAUACCAAAAUCAAGAUUUCCCUGAGAGGGAAAGAACUGAAAUCUCAGUAGAAAACAUCUGACCAGUUUUUAUGUUUUGGUGUAUAACUUUGUACAGUUUAGUAUUCUGAGAAUUUAAAGACUAAGCUAAAUUAUCUGUUUCUGCUUGAAGGCUAAAGUUUGCUAUCUUCAGCUGCAAAUCAUCUCCAUACUGCAAACUAUCUCUAUACUGAAAAUCUUGCCCCUUUCCCUCAUACACACUGAUUUAUCUGUUGUAUUACUGUCCUACCUCUUCUGCAAAAAUGGUUUAGGUCAGAUAUAUACACAGGAAGCAGCCAUCUGAACUGGGAAGGGAAUAUGUCCACCUGGAAGCAGUUAAAAGAGAACAGUAUGAUAUAUUGAGGUACUUAAUGAGAUGAGAUCGAUUCAUUCAUCUGACUGCAUAAAACUUCACUAAGUGCUGUGUUCCUUUUUGAAGACCAAACAUAAACUCCUAAUUCACUCUGGUAUACUUGAAUGUACACUUAUGGUCCAAAUUCUAGACUACUAGUUACAGGCAUCGAAAUAUAACCCUCCAGAGCUAGACAUUCAUUUAGUUAAGAGAUUGUUUCUCUUCUCAAAGUUAUAAUUCAUUGCUUGUUUUACUUACUAUUCUCACUUGAGAAUUUAAGUCUUCCAAAGUAAAAUACAAAAAUUUCCAAAAUCCUACAGUGAAGGAAGUUCAGUAAAGCAGUAUUGGUCUUUGAGAGACAGUUGUCAAGGCUAAGCUUAGUGAGUUAGUUCAAUGUCAGACUGCAGUUUAGGAAACAAAGACAGUAGAAGUAAAUGAUAGCUGUGAAUGUAUCAGCUUCUUACAGUGUUAGUAAGUGUUUUCAAGAAUUAAACACUAUCUAUAUCCAAAGCAGACUACAAAAUGCAAAGAAACAGAGUUACUGUAUCCUAAUAAUCAUAGAAUCACAAAAUGGCUUGGGUUGGAAGAGCCCUUAAAGCCCAUCCAAUUUCUACUCCCUGCCAUGGGCAGGCUGCUACCCACUAGAUGAGGCUGCACAGGACUCCAUCCAGCCUGGCCUUGAGUGCACUCAGGGAUGAGUCAGCUACAACUUCUCUGAGCAGCCUUUGCCACUGCCUCACCACCUUCUGAGUAAGAAAUCAUCUUCUAAUGUCCAGUAUAAAUCUUCCCUUUUUUUAGUUUAAAACUAUUACCCUUUGUACUACCUCUGUCUUCCCCUGUAAAAUAUCUUUCUCCUGUUUAUAAGCUCCCUUUAAUCACUUGAAGGCUGCAGUGAGGUCUUUUGGAGCCUUCUCCUCUCCAAGCUAAACAAGACCAACUCCAUCAGCUUUUUUUCAUAGGAGAGAUGCUCCAGCCCUGUGAUCAUCUUCACAGCCUCCUCUGGACCCACUCAAACAACUCUGCAUGCUCCUCCAGAUCUGGACACACUAUAUCAGUUCCAGUACAAUGUCCAAGUAAGACCAAAAAUAUAUGGAGAGACUUCUGUGAAUAAGACUCUUGAUUCUGAGCCCAGUACUGUCAUCAGUAGCCUUAGACUUGGUAGGAGAAACCUGCGUUUCAAAGGACAGGACAGGACAUGUCAAGAGUGCAGCCAUGGUCCAAGCAGCACACCAUGAAUAGAAACAUUGCAAGGACUGGAGAGUAACUACUAUGUUCCAGAUAGAAGAUACAUGUGCCCUUGGCCACAUCAGGGACAUAAAAACAAGAUCUAAGAAAGUAUCAGAGAUUAAAGCCGCGCUUGGGAAUUCUAUCUUUAAUAGUAAAUAAGCAUUCCCUCUCAAAACACAUUUCAGCAUAGCCAUGAAGUUUUUGUGGUGAACAUAGAGAUAGGGCAAUAUUCAUACAUUACACAUAAUUUUUCCUCAGGUGUUUCAAAAACACUCAAAGUGGUUUCCCAGUUCAGCCCUUGGAAGUCAUGUCUGACAGAGGAACUGGGUAACACACAGAGAGCUUCCUUUGUUUUCCUCUAGUUUGAAUAUUUGGUUUAAAAUACAUCCUUCCAGUGCAGAGCAAGGAAUAUUGUCAAGUGAAUUUCAAAUGUGCCUGUUAAAAAUACAAAUUAAAGUGGGAUUUAAAAAAAAAUCACCUUCCGCCAAUAAUGAAGCCAUCAAGAAAAGUAACACUAACAAACAGAAAUAGGGUCCCAUUAUGUGAGUUGCAGACCAUCUUAAUAGAUGGAAAUUUGCCUGUCUCAGUCUACAUAAUUAAAAUGUACUGUAUAUAAUUAAAAUUAAUGUAAUUAAAACAGUCUCAGCACCAAGUUUAAUUAUGUCACUCAAAUAUUGCUUCUAGACACACCAAAAUCAGCAUGUCAGUAAUAAGAUAAAUCUCUAUAUUCCUUUAGAUUAAUAAACAGAUGGGACUAAAAAAGGAAAAAGAGCUAAAAAAAAUAUCAACACUGAAAUAAUUAUUUUAUUCAACAAAUAGAAUGGAGCUUUUUCUCCUAAACUGUUAUUCUUAUGGGUAGCCUCACAGGGAUCUCUGCUUUAAUGCAUGUAUAGAAAUAACCAGUAGCUUAAAUAUCAGAGAAGCCAAACUCAACAGUUUAAUCCUCUGAUGUAAUUCUGUACCACUUACAAAGAAGAUAGAACACAAUUCCAACAAUUAAUUGUGUGAGAAGGAAAGCUCACAAGGCUUUUCACAGGUGAACCUCAGUACCAUCAGCUUUACACCACAGCUUAUCUCAGCACCUUAUCUCAGCACCUCACCACCCAUGUCACUGAUGUACGUGUUUGGUCUGUAGUCUGGGCAAAAGUCCAUGUACCCUAUGGUUGUGGUUGAACAAGUGUUGAUGGAGAGAAAAACGAAGACUUGAGACCUGUCCAGUUCUGGUCAUAUUGGUCACCAGAUCAAAGGAUGCCAACUGAUACUGCAGCUGCAUAAGCAUCUUGCAGUUGGGAAAAAAAGGCUGAGAAAAGAGUUGAGGUGGCAAAGAGAAAGUUUAUAUUUGUAGAGAAGUUUUCCAAGAGGGAAAAAAGUUCUGCAAUCUGUUGUUUUACAACAUAAGCUGUGGGCUAAUAAGAUAUAUAAAGUUAUGUUGACAACUGCAGGUGUUUCAUGCUUACCAUUUCAAUUAAAUAUUCCUGAAGUGGUUAUUAUAUACCAGCAUUGUAAAUGAGUUUUUUUGAUGUUGUCUAAAAAGUUUCUGAGAUUGGAAUAUGAUGCUGUAAGAAUAACAAAGUUUUUGCACAAAUAAUGCUGAUUGUGAAGGUCGCAAUACAUCCUGAAAUCUUCUCUCAAACAGGAUUAAUUUUAGGUAACUAAGCUCUCAGCAACCACAAUAGUCUGUAUGCUGUUAGCCCUCUCAAACACCACUAGUUUCCCUAGGUCUGUCAUGGUUUUAUGAUUUUUGGUUAUGGGUAUUACACAUCAUAACAGCAUGUAAUGUACUGGGGGUUUGACUGUUGAUGCUCAAGUUCCAGGUGCCUGUCCGGAGGAGAAGAAGAGCUACAUUCCCCAGGGGGCUUUGCGAUCAGUGAGGAGAUAUAAGUCCUGAUAAGGUCACCUGAUGUUCUCUUCUUUGCCUGCGCUUCUUCAUCUGCACUUCUCCACCUGCUUUUCUUCAUCAGCUCAACUGGACUGCACAUCUUACCUCAGCACUGCAGUGAGGCCUAUCCACUUUUCAGACACACUCUCUCUCUCAUUAUAUUUUGAUUUAUUAACUUCCAUUAUAUUGCAUUAUCUUGCAUUCUGAUACUAUAUUUAGUAAAUUUGUUUCACCUCAGAUCAUUGCCGCUGUUUUCAAUUAUUUUGAGGUCCCAUGUUUCCAGAGGUGUGGAUCCACAUAUCCCUCUGCCCUGCUAGUCACCGAACCAGGACAAACCAGCCCAUAAACCAUUGACAAGGUCCCAUACUUAAAAGACAGUGGUAAUCCUUAGCGUUUCUACAGUGCCUCUUAAGGUAUUUUGUUGGCAAGUAUAUGGCGAUGAUAUUGCUUUCCAUCCGUCUUUGAGGCUGCAGUGUAAUACCUUCUAUCUACAAGAUAACUGGAAAUGGAUUAAUGGGAUAAAGUUGAACCUUAUCAACACUAAAACAGUAUUUCAGCUUAGAUUUGCUGACCUCUUGUCAUGAUAAGAUGAAUGUAUUCUUGAGUGUGAAAUGAAACAAUUUCACAGGAGAGUUUUUCAUUUCACAGCUAUUUUGCCUCAUUUUUUAUAUCUGGAAAUUAAAUCAUUAAUAUAGCCUAGUAGGGGCUCUAUUAACAAUAUAUUUAGUAGAGGCUAAAAGAUUUAAGUUUCACAGAAUUAUUUGUAUGUGGAAUGUCUGGUCUUCUUUUAGCUCUAAUCAUUUAUACAUUUCCUUGUAUUAUCUGAGGGGAGGGGAGAGAGGUAGUAGGGACAAAAAAAGUAAAGAAACAACAGGCUUCAAGAUACUUAUAUAAGUCAAAUGUUUUUGAAUGGCAAAACCUGAUGAAUUUGACUUCACAAUCUGAAAGAAUGGAGUCAGGCAGUCUCAGAUGCAAUAUCAGUUGUUUUAGGGAGCUUAAAGAGGGUAAGCGAGAUACCUGAUGAUACAGACUUAUCUCUAAACAGAACUGUGGGGUGGGAGCUGAGAAGCCAUCAACCAUUGUAAUGUCCAGGCAGCUGAAAGAGCCCUGAAGUGAAAAAUAGAGGAGGCAAAGUGCAUAUUGGUCUAACAGAGAUAAAACCUCUUAAAUCAGUUUUUCCAGUAAGCUGGUGAGGUUAACUACUUCUCAGUAGUUAAUUUCCUCUGUUUUCCAAAUAGAGUAAGAUUUUGAGAAUUUUUUACUUGACAUUAUUAUAAAUAGGAUAUGGAAUUAAGGUACAGAUAAAACUAUUACAAAAUAACUUGCAAAUGGCAAAAAUGCUUGUAAAAAUCUUAGAUGAUAGAGAAUAUCACUGGUUCAUGAUCAGAACAAUACAGAAUGAGUGGUUUUGAAGAGUUCUUCCCUUGGUCUAGUAUUAAUUAAUAUACUUAUUAGAGAUCUAAAUGGUAGAAGAAAGAUUAUUUUCACUGAACCAGCAGGUGAUAUCACCCUAUAUACUGCUGCUACAUUAGAUAGCAGCAUUAGAAUGCAAUACAAUCUUGACAAAUAGGCAAACCAGACUGGAAAAGGAAUAAUAAUAUAGUUCAGCAGGGAGGAGCACGCAUAUAUAGCCAAGAAUAAUCAAUUACAUGACAUGGGAUCAGGAAUGAUUGCCUAUACAGCAGUUCUGCGGAAAAGAUGCACUUUGUAAUGGAUUACAAGGGGAACAUGAGCCAAACAAAGGUCUAUACAAGAACAAGAACACGUAGGUACAUCCUGCCUAAUGCAUGAUUUAUUUUUCAUGCUUUUUGUGUGUGUUUAUGAACUGCAUUUUAACAUCUAUGAAUGCAUAUGAAAAAAAAUUUGCCCCUUUCUAAUCACAACAAAUAGCACACAAAUGUAAAAGGCGCAGAUUAUUUUCUGGCUUAUGUGGCAUCAAUGAAUUUGUUCAUAAAAUCUCCUUACAAAAAAUUUAUUAUAGAUAGUAUGCUGAAAAUUAGAAAAUAUUCCCCUGUUGAAUUCCAAAUCUGAUUAAAUUUGCAUUGCUGUAUAUUUUAAAAAUUAAUUUUCCUGAUACAUUUUAAAUAGAAUUCAUUAUGACGCUAAGAAAUAAAAACAAUUAUUGACAUUGUCCCCUCCCAGCCAUUUUAAGCAGCAACUUCUCAAAGUAUUAUUGCACUUUAAUUAGAAAUAUGAAUGAUAGGGAUUAAUUAAAAAUGUGUAGACUGCAGAUUCGUUCAAAAGAGCCAUGCAUAACACUAAUUAGAAUUUUUGUUAUUAGUUCUUGGUAAUAGGAAAAAUGUGAAAAUAAAUGUAUUUUCCUAUUAAUAGAGAUUGAUUGAAAAGCAUACGAACAUCUCCUCUCAUUUUCAUCUACCCUUUGUGUAAGAAACAAAAAGAGAGAUAAAUACCUACUUUCUUCUAUGGAAAUGAAAAACAGUGUCUUUAUUAUAUAAUGUAUUAAUCAAAGUAAAAGUAAUUUCACUUCUUAAAAGUAGUUACUGAGCUAAGAGUUUCAAAUGCUAAACCCAAACUCCCCUAAAGGACAGGUGGCUUAUGGACAUUCAGUUCUCUUCAGCAAAACACUGUCACUAAUAGAGGCUGAAAUAUGUUGAUGUUAAGCAAAAUAUAUCUCUUCCACAAUCCUGAUUGUUUAUCAUCAUAAUCUACAGAUACGAAUUAUAUGAACUACACAGAACAGAAGGCCAGGGAGUGAACCCAGAGGAGCAUCAGACAAUUAUCAUUAUGUUUGAUGUGUAUUUAUUUAAUUGAUGUGGUAAAGACAAUACUUUGGAGCAAUAAAUCACACCCUAAGUUGUUAUUUAUUAAUAUCUGUGAACAGAAGGAACUAAAGUGGGAAAACAGCUCACAAAAUACAAACCAAUCUGCUGGCAAGAUGCAGUCAUUAAAGCAACCUCAGAAAUUCUGCUUUUGCUUGAGGUGUAUUCAUUAUAAUACAGUAAUAAUGGCUCAAAGUAUUUGCUCACAGUGUGGCUUUUUUUUUUUAGAUUAAAUUAUGCUCGUACCUGUUGAGAAUGAAAGGGAAAGAAAUAAAGCACAAAAAUAUCCUCUUUUUACCCAGAAAUUCUUAAAUUCUCAGAGUUACCCUGCAUGUCAAGUCAAUAGAGUCAUCUUCUCUUAUAGAAUGAGGGCUUCUCUGUAGAAAAACACUAAAGUUCUUGCACCUCUGGAUUGAACUGAAAACCUCAGAUAUCAAGUCUGGUGACUGGAUUAUACUGGAACCCAUGUCACUCAGAGUACUGAAUGUCACCCUGAAUUUUCAGGCUUUUUAAUCUCAUAUCAACAGUGGAACACUAGGGUUUCACAAGCAUAUCCUUGUAGAUUUGUCUGUAAUAAAGGUCCUUAAAACAAAACUAAAUGGAUGAAGCUGAUGAUGUCUGUCAGAUCUAGAAAUUACUCUUGUCUGCGGGUCUCAGACAGAGGUUAAAAAAUGUUGACCUAAGAAGAAGGCUGAAAUAAAUGGCUGAAGAAAAGAGUGACACAGGAUUCUGUGGUGUACCAGAGAAUUGUGUUCUGGGUCAUCCAGUGCAAAAAUGAUGUGAGCGUACUGAAGGGAUUCCAGCAGAGGGCCACCAAGAUCCUGGAGCACCUGUCAUGUGAGACUGGGAAUGUUCAGCCUUGGAAAGAAGAGGCUCAGGGGCAUUUCAUCAAUGUCUGUAAACAUUUGAAGGCAAAGUGCAAGGCUCUCUGCAGUAGUGGUACCCAGUGUCAAGGCAAGAGGCAAUAGGCACAAACUGGAACAGAAACUUUCAUCUAAGCAUCAGGAAGCACUUCUGUGCUCUGUGGUUGACAGCACUGGCACAGGUUGCCCAGAGGUGGUGGAGCCUCCUUGGAUAUCUUCCAAAGUCACCUGGAUGUGGACCUGGGCACUCUACUUUCAUGUCCCUGCUGGAGCUCAGGUUAGACCAGAUCACUUCCAACUUCAACCAUUCUGUGGUUCUGUGAUUCUGUGGCAUACAUGAACAUUUCACACCUAAUGAUGAAUCACUCCUUUGGCUCAGAUGGACCUCUGAAUUUAUUCCUCAAUGUCUCUAAAUUUGUUUGGACCAAACACAGCACAAAUAAGGUAGCCGCAGAAGUCUCCAUGAGGACUGUGUGAAACCUGAAUAUCCCUGAGAAAAUGAGCUCAACCCUUUAAUUUGCCAGCACAAUAGAUACUCAGCUGAAAGACUGAAAGGACAAUAUUCCCUGUUAUUCUUCAAACCUACCAAUUCAUCCAAACUCAUGAGGAUGAUCUAAGGAACAAACAGGUGCUAAUUCAUUCCAUUCACCCUCCAGGUUUCGUUUCAGUAUGUCACAACCGCCAGUAAAGCAGAAAUAGAUUGUUUUUAGCAAGUGCACUGUUUUCCUCUAAAAAGUAUAUAGCUCUAAGGCAGGAGAGCUGGAACUCACUGUGCACGUUAAUUAGUUGUCUCUUUAGUCCAAAGACUCUCUGGGCCCUACAGCCACAUCCACACAACACAACAGGUACUUCAUACUGCAGUUUAACAUGAUGUCUGCUUGCUGCUCUCACUUCUGUGGAAAACUCAGAAAAAGCAUCAUUAUUUUAGGAUGACAAGACAAGAAAGAAAAGGUGCCAAAAUGUGGAACAAAAAUUAAAAAAAUGACAGACCAAAAAUUUGACAAUAAAAAACAGCCUUUUAAAGUAACCCCUCAGGGUAACAGUACCUAAAGAAAUUCAUACUGAGUCUUCACCCUUCGCUGAUAUAUGUGUUUGUUUCCAACUGCUGUAAAAGCCAUUUCCCAGAGCUAGAGCUAACAACACAUUUGGACAUGUUCCAUUGAUUAAUUUAUUUUUCAUGAAGGACUAUUAGAUAUCUUUGACUUGGAGUCGUUGCUGCUUUAAUAUUUCCCAGGAUGGAAGCACAACCAAUAUUCAUUAUGCCUUUGCAGAAAAAACAAACAAACGAAAAAAACCCAUAGUAGUGAAGUUAUUGAGUCCUGAACUCAAAUACAUCUAUUUGCCCAUCCAUCAAACUUAGAAAGCAAUCCACUCUUGAUGCAAUGGGUAAAAUACUUGAGUAAAAGUAUGUAUGUAAAUAAAAUAACUACAAAUGUACACCUUUUCCCCUAUACAAAUAUGGAAAAAAAAAGAAAAAAAGAAAAAAAAAAAAGAAAAAAAAAAAAGUGUCUGUACAUAACUGCAGUGAUGAUAUAUUUAAAAUGGAUUGAUACCUGCUCUCUGACUGGAGGCUUGAAUUUUUCUGGCUCAUUUAUGUCUCGAAUUGGUGUUCUUUGUAGCUGUCAUUAAUUCUUGCCCUUAAUAAAAUCAGUAAAGUCUU
Long non-coding RNA from Tympanuchus pallidicinctus (lesser prairie-chicken), 12586 nucleotides. RefSeq lists it as uncharacterized. Lineage: Eukaryota; Metazoa; Chordata; Aves; Galliformes; Phasianidae. The transcript is spliced from 7 exons. The record is from RefSeq and is a predicted model, not a curated record.